CCCCCUGGGACACUGCACCCAAUAUUCACGUUGGGAGACGAUGACAAUAUGCCCAAUAUCGCAGGGGAUGUACACCCACCCUAGGAUAUUGUUCCUAUAUCGAGUGUGGGAGAAGACGCUAUUACUCCCAAUAACGGAGGGGCUGUGGCUGUACACCCCUCCUGUGAUAUUGUUCUUUAUAUCCUAGGGAAAAGAGGAUGAUAUUACACCCAAUACCGCAGGGGGUGUACACCCACUCAGUGAUGUUGUUCUUAAUGUACUCCACCUCCCACCACCAGGGAUAUCGUUCCUAAUAUCCAGGGGAAGAGAGGAUAACAUUAUGCCCAAUAUUGCUGGGGAGUAUACACAACCUCUGUGAUGUUGUUCCUAGGAUCCAAAGGUAGAGACGAUGAUAUUACUGGCCAUAUUGCAGGGGGUGUACACCCUUCUGUGAUAUCGUUUUUGACAUUCAGUUGGGGGAGACGAUCACAUUAAUCCCAAUAUCGCAGAAGGUGUACAGACCCCUGUGAUGUGGUUCCUAAUGUACAGGGGAAAGAGAAGAAUAUUAUUCUCAAUAUCGCAGGGUGUGUAACCACCCUGUCCCCUGUAUAUUGUCCCUAAUAUGCAGAGGGGUGGAGGCUGACAGUACUCCCAAUAUCCCAGAAGGUGCACACACACCUGUGAUAUAGUUUCUAAUAUCCAGCGGGAAAGAGGCUGAUUUUACUUUCGAUAUCACAGUGGGUGUACACCUCCCCAACCCCCGGGGUAUCGUUCCUAAUAUCCAGGCGGGAAGAAGAUGACAUUGCUGACAAUAUCAAGGGGUGGACAACUCUUCUGUGAUAUGGUUCCUGAUAUCCAGGGGGUGAGUGGAUGAUGUGUACACCCCGCCUGUGAUAUGAAUCCCAAAACCUAGAAGAAGAGAGAAUGACAUUGCUCUAAAACACACGGGUGUACACACCCCGCUGUGAUAUUGUUCCUCAUAACUUGUAGGGGAGAGCGUGAUAUUACUUCCAAUAUGACAGUGGCUUGACACCCAGUCUGUGAUAUUGGUUCUGCACACCAACUCUGUGCCCCUCUUUUCCAUGCGUUCUCUCCUCACUGUUGGAACCUCGGGGGAGGCUUUAUCUCUGGUUACAGAUGAAGAGACGAGGGGUCUGAGAGGUUAAGCAAGUUUGUUACUGGAAAGGGGUCCCGAUCCAGCCUCCAAGAGAGGUUUCUUGGAUCUCACAGAAGAAAGAAUUCGGGGCGAGUCCAUCAAGUGAAAGCAACUUUAUGAGGAAAGAAAAGGAAUAAAAGAAUGGCUACUCUGGCCGGGCGCAGCGGCUCACUCCUGUAAUCCUAGAACUUUGGGAUGCCGAGGCAGGUGGAUCACCUGAGGUGAGAAGUUCGAGACCAGCCUGGUCCAACAUGGCAAAACCCUGUCUCCACUAAAAUACAAAACAUUAACGGUGUGGUGGCAGGUGCCUGUAAUCCCAGCUACUAGGAAGGCUGAGGCAGGAGAAUCGCUUAACCCAGGAGGCGGAGGUUGUAGUGAGCCAAGAUCAUGCCAUUGCAUUCUAAUUCGGCCAACAGAGCAAGACUCCAUCUCAAAAAAAAAAAGAAAAAAAAA
RNAcentral lists this long non-coding RNA (1588 nucleotides) under Macaca fascicularis (crab-eating macaque). RNAcentral's name for it is "lncRNA (ENSMFAG00000062718.1)". The record is from RNAcentral. Lineage: Eukaryota; Metazoa; Chordata; Mammalia; Primates; Cercopithecidae.